UAGUAUCCUCAACUAUGCCGGUC
RNAcentral lists this non-coding RNA (23 nucleotides) under Arabidopsis thaliana (thale cress). The record is from RNAcentral. Lineage: Eukaryota; Viridiplantae; Streptophyta; Magnoliopsida; Brassicales; Brassicaceae.